GUUGUAUAGUCAAGUAAUUAAGUGCAUGUGGUGGAUGCCUUGGCAGUCAGAGGCGAUGAAAGACGUGAUAGCCUGCGAAAAGCUCCGGGGAGGCGGCAAAUAUCCUUUGAUCCGGAGAUGUCUGAAUGGGGGAACCCACCUACUUUAAGGUAGGUAUUGCAACAUGAAUACAUAGUGUUGCAAGGCGAACGAGGGGAAGUGAAACAUCUCAGUACCCUUAGGAAAAGAAAUCAAUUGAGAUUCCCUCAGUAGCGGCGAGCGAACGGGGAUCAGCCCAUUAAGUUAUGUGUGUUUUAGUGGAACGCUCUGGGAAGUGCGAACGUAGAGGGUGAUAUUCCCGUACACGAAAGGGCACACAUAAUGAUGACGAGUAGGGCGAGGCACGUGAAACCUUGUCUGAAUAUGGGGGGACCAUCCUCCAAGGCUAAAUACUCCUGACUGACCGAUAGUGAACCAGUACCGUGAGGGAAAGGCGAAAAGAACCCCUGUGAGGGGAGUGAAAUAGAUCCUGAAACCGCAUGCAUACAAGCAGUGGGAGCACCUUCGUGGUGUGACUGCGUACCUUUUGUAUAAUGGGUCAGCGACUUAUAUUCAGUAGCGAGGUUAACCGUAUAGGGGAGCCGUAGAGAAAUCGAGUCUUAAUAGGGCGUUUAGUUGCUGGGUAUAGACCCGAAACCAGGCGAUCUAUCCAUGAGCAGGUUGAAGGUUGGGUAACACUAACUGGAGGACCGAACCCACUGUCGUUGAAAAGCCAGGGGAUGACUUGUGGAUAGGGGUGAAAGGCUAAUCAAGCCUGGUGAUAGCUGGUUCUCCCCGAAAGCUAUUUAGGUAGCGCCUCGGACGAAUACCAUAGGGGGUAGAGCACUGUUUCGGCUAGGGGGUCAUCCCGACUUACCAAACCGAUGCAAACUCCGAAUACCUAUGAGUACUAUCCGGGAGACAGACUGCGGGUGCUAACGUCCGUAGUCAAGAGGAAAACAAUCCAGACCGCCAGCUAAGGCCCCAAAAUCAUAGUUAAGUGGGAAACGAUGUGGGAAGGCAUAGACAGCUAGGAGGUUGGCUUAGAAGCAGCCACCCUUUAAAGAAAGCGUAAUAGCUCACUAGUCGAGUCGGCCUGCGCGGAAGAUGUAACGGGGCUAAAACUAUGUGCCGAAGCUGCGGAUNNNNNNNNNNNNNNNNNNNNNNNNNNNNNNNNNNNAUGCUGGAGGUAUCAGAAGUGCGAAUGCUGACGUGAGUAACGACAAAACGGGUGAAAAACCCGUUCGCCGAAAGACCAAGGGUUCCAGUCCAACGUUAAUCGGGGCUGGGUGAGUCGACCCCUAAGGCGAGGCCGAAAGGCGUAGUCGAUGGGAAAAUGGUUAAUAUUCCAUUACUUCUGUGUAAUGCGAUGAGAGGACGGAGAAGGCUAAAUCAGCCUGGCGUUGGUUGUCCAGGUGAAAGGAUGUAGGCAUGUAUCUUAGGCAAAUCCGGGGUACUCUAUGCUGAGAUCUGAUAGCAAGCUGUACUUGUACAGCGAAGUGGUUGAUGCCAUGCUUCCAGGAAAAGUCUCUAAGCUUCAGUUACACAGGAAUCGUACCCGAAACCGACACAGGUGGUCAGGUCGAGUAGACCAAGGCGCUUGAGAGAACUCUGCUGAAGGAACUAGGCAAAAUGGUACCGUAACUUCGGGAGAAGGUACGCUGUUGUUGGUGAUGGAACUCGCUUCCUGAGCUGACGACAGCCGCAGAAACCAGGCCGCUGCAACUGUUUAUUAAAAACAUAGCACUCUGCAAACACGAAAGUGGACGUAUAGGGUGUGAUGCCUGCCCGGUGCUGGAAGGUUAAUUGAUGGGGUUAGCGUAAGCGAAGCUCUUGAUCGAAGCCCCAGUAAACGGCGGCCGUAACUAUAACGGUCCUAAGGUAGCGAAAUUCCUUGUCGGGUAAGUUCCGACCUGCACGAAUGGCAUAAUGAUGGCGGCGCUGUCUCCAGCAGAGGCUCAGUGAAAUCGAAAUCGCUGUGAAGAUGCAGUGUACCCGCGGCUAGACGGAAAGACCCCGUGAACCUUUACUGCAGCUUGACACUGAACUUUGACCUUACUUGUGUAGGAUAGGUGGGAGGCUUUGAAGCUGGAACGCUAGUUCCAGUGGAGCCGUCCUUGAAAUACCACCCUGGUAAUGUUGAGGUUCUAACUCUGUCCCGUGAUCCGGGACGAGGACCGUGUCUGGUGGGUAGUUUGACUGGGGCGGUCUCCUCCUAAAGAGUAACGGAGGAGUACGAAGGUGCGCUCAGCGUGGUCGGAAAUCACGCGUAGAGUAUAAAGGCAAAAGCGCGCUUAACUGCGAGACCCACAAGUCGAGCAGGUACGAAAGUAGGUCUUAGUGAUCCGGUGGUUCUGUAUGGAAGGGCCAUCGCUCAACGGAUAAAAGGUACUCUGGGGAUAACAGGCUGAUACCGCCCAAGAGUUCAUAUCGACGGCGGUGUUUGGCACCUCGAUGUCGGCUCAUCUCAUCCUGGGGCUGAAGCAGGUCCCAAGGGUAUGGCUGUUCGCCAUUUAAAGAGGUACGCGAGCUGGGUUUAGAACGUCGUGAGACAGUUCGGUCCCUAUCUACCGUGGGCGCUGGAAAUUUGAGAGGAUCUGCUCCUAGUACGAGAGGACCAGAGUGGACGAACCUCUGGUGUACCGGUUGUGACGCCAGUCGCAUCGCCGGGUAGCUAUGUUCGGAAGGGAUAACCGCUGAAAGCAUCUAAGCGGGAAGCCUACCUCAAGAUAAGAUUUCCCUAGGACUUUAUGUCCUCUAAAGAGCCGUUCGAGACUAGGACGUUGAUAGGUUGGAUGUGGAAGCAUAGUGAUAUGUGAAGCUGACCAAUACUAAUUGCUCGUGAGGCUUGACUAUACAACACCCAAGCAGUUG
Molecule: ribosomal RNA, 2892 nt
Filed under: Acinetobacter baumannii
Lineage: Bacteria; Pseudomonadati; Pseudomonadota; Gammaproteobacteria; Moraxellales; Moraxellaceae
Description: 23S ribosomal RNA
Rfam family: Bacterial large subunit ribosomal RNA
Source: RNAcentral